GAUACUUAUUACAGUUCUAGUGGCGACGGGUGAGUAACACGUUGGAACCUGCCCCAAAGUGAGGAAUAAGCCACCGAAAGGUGGUCUAAUACUUCAUAAUAUCCAUCUCGUAUGGAUUAAAGCUUUAUGCGCUUUGGGAGGGGCCUGCGUAACAUUAGCUUGUUGGUGAGGUAAAAGCUCACCAAGGCUUCGAUGUUUAACUGGUUUGAGAGGAUGACCAGUCACACUGGGACUGAGAUACGGCCCAGACUCCUACGGGAGGCAGCAGUAAGGAAUCUUCCACAAUGGGGCAACCCUGAUGGAGCAAUACCGCGUGCAGGAUGAAGCGUUUCGGCGUGUAAACUGCUUUUAUCACCGAAGAUUAUGACUGUAGGUGAAGAAUAAGGACCGGCUAACUACGUG
This 402-nucleotide ribosomal RNA is filed under the name uncultured bacterium. Its description in RNAcentral is "bacterial SSU rRNA". It matches the Rfam family "Bacterial small subunit ribosomal RNA", at positions 76 to 507 of the family's 1533-position model. The record is from RNAcentral.